CUACAGGGGUAUCUAAUCCUGUUUGAUACCCGCACUUUCGAGCUUCAGCGUCAGUUGUGCUCCCGCAAGCUGCCUUCGCAAUCGGAGUUCUUCGUGAUAUCUAAGCAUUUCACCGCUACACCACGAAUUCCGCCUGCGUUGCGCACACUCAAGUGAACCAGUUCGCGCUGCAAGUCAGACGUUGAGCGUCUACAUUUCACAACACGCUUAAUCCACGGCCUACGCUCCCUUUAAACCCAAUAAAUCCGGAUAACGCCGGGACCUUCCGUAUUACCGCGGCUGCUGGCAC
RNAcentral lists this ribosomal RNA (289 nucleotides) under uncultured Prevotella sp. RNAcentral's name for it is "partial 16S ribosomal RNA". Lineage: Bacteria; Pseudomonadati; Bacteroidota; Bacteroidia; Bacteroidales; Prevotellaceae. The record is from RNAcentral.